RNAcentral lists this ribosomal RNA (606 nucleotides) under Xylariales sp. RNAcentral describes it as "eukaryotic LSU rRNA". It matches the Rfam family "Eukaryotic large subunit ribosomal RNA", at positions 1 to 602 of the family's 3401-position model. Lineage: Eukaryota; Fungi; Ascomycota; Sordariomycetes; Xylariales. The record is from RNAcentral.
ACAGUCUUCCAGGUUGACCUCGGAUCAGGUAGGAAUACCCGCUGAACUUAAGCAUAUCAAUAAGCGGAGGAAAAGAAACCAACAGGGAUUGCCUCAGUAACGGCGAGUGAAGCGGCAACAGCUCAAAUUUGAAAUCUGGCCCCCGGGUCCGAGUUGUACUUUGUAGAGGAUGCUUUUGGCGCAGUGCCUUCCGAAGUUCCCUGGAACGGGACGCCGUGGAGGGUGAGAGCCCCGUCCGGUCGGCCGUCGCGCCUCUGUAAAGCUCCUUCGACGAGUCGAGUAGUUUGGGAAUGCUGCUCUAAAUGGGAGGUAAAUUUCUUCUAAAGCUAAAUACCGGCCAGAGACCGAUAGCGCACAAGUAGAGUGAUCGAAAGAUGAAAAGCACUUUGGAAAGAGGGUUAAACAGCACGUGAAAUUGUUGAAAGGGAAGCGUUUGCGACCAGACCUCUUCCUGGCGGAUCAUCCGGCGUUCUCGCCGGUGCACUUCGCCAGAUCGAGGCCAGCAUCGGUUUCCGGGAGGGGACAAAAGCUCUGGGAACGUAGCUCCUCCGGGAGUGUUAUAGCCCUCUGCACAAUACCCUCGCGGGGACCGAGGACCGCGCUCGC